UAAACCCUAGCCGCCGGUGGCGUGCUAGCUCAAAUUCUCCCAAUUUCCUGACUGAAAUCAGCUAGUUUAGUUAAAAUUCAGUAGAUGGGGGCUCUGGUGCUGACAGCAGGGCGCAUGAUUCUCUCUCCCGGUCCGCACUUCGCCCGAUUAACCCUAGCCCCUCCGCUCCUUGCAGCCUCACCCGUCGCCGCGCUCCGUCCUCCUCUCCUCCCCGUUCUCUCCAGCCGCCGAGUUCGCCGCCGCCGCCGCCCUCCCCGGCGAGCUCGCCCCUUGCCAUCGCCGGGAGGAAAGUGCAGAGCCGACGCUCGCGUCGCUGCUCCGUAGAGAGGAGCACGCCAUCGAGACGACCCAAAAAGGAAACACCGCCGGCCGAAGCAUCUAUGGGGGCCCCAUGGUUGCCGGCGACCGGACGCCACCACCGCCGCCGAUGUCGUCGGCGCCCCCACGCCAUGCUUCCGAACAGGAGGAGGAUGGCCACGAGUUUGCAGUGGAGGGGGGCGCAUCCAUCGGCCGAGAUCGUGAACACUGCCCUUGACGGCGUGCUGGUGGUGGCCUGAGUACCAUCUGUCGGAGAGGAGAAAGGCAUGCCUACCCCUUCUUGAGAGCGGUCGUGUACAAGGCCAGAACGACAAAGCCGCUCCCACUGCUCCCCAGUGCAGAGGAUUGCAUAUAGGCUCUAUGACGCAGAUUGUCAGGUCGCCGGUGGUCCGUUGGUUGAUGAAUUUUGCUUAUCUUCAAUGUUCUAUGUAGCAUGCCAGUAAUGCUUCCUCACCUGCUUGAAAAAGAAGCUGACUAUUGCAUAUCUGGUCAACCUUUCCUAGUCUUAUGAUAAGGUUAUAAGGGUUGACUGCUCAUAGAAGGUUAUUGUUCAAUCCAUGGAUACAGUCUAGCAUCUUAUGAUAAGAAGAGAAUAUGCUAAGGUAUCACUUCACUUACGCAAACCUUUUUUUUCUUCUCUCUGACAUGUCCAUUGGUGUUGGGCACCAUUAGUGCUCCAGCUUAUGCUGUGUUUGUUUUGCAAGCUGUCGCUGUGUUGUAAUCUUUCAGUUGUUCCUUUGCAUUAUGUGGGAGACGCCACAAUCUAUCAAGUAGCUAUCUGCAAUUCUUUUUACCAAGGCACUUAUACUUUCUUAUAGAUAAAUUGCUUCUAUACUCCAAUACCUCCAAUAUCAGCCUCCAAAGUUAAGCAUUCCAGGUUCUCAGUGUGCAUCACUUUUCCCUCUUGCCGACAGAAAAUUAUCUAUGAAAGAAACCUUAUUAUUAGUUCAUGAUGGAAAGAAACCUUGUACUGUUACAUGAAUGGCAUCCAUGUGCUGACACCAUUGAGCUUAAUUUAGAUAUGUGGAUGUAGUCUUUCUGUUUGUGUGUAAGAUAAUUACUUUAUCUAUUUAGUUGAUCCUUGCUCUUAUUGAAAAUAGAUAGAUUAUCCGUGAUGGAAGUUGAAGUUACUGUGAUAAUUGGUUUAUCAAUUUAGCUAAUCCUUACUAUUUUUACACCCUUCAGUAAAAAAAGGUUGGUCAUUUUGAUUCCUGCUACCAAUUUGUUUGUCCUGUAAAGUGAGAUACAUAUUAUUAACUUAUUUUAUUUCAGGGAGAUACAUUGACAGGAAGUGCUCACUCGCUUGAAUUGUUUCUAUCGGGGGCAGAAUUAUUGUUGAAACAUGCCACCGUGUUUGGUCUGGGAUCUGAGCGAACCUGUCGCGCCCGACUUCGUCCUCCACUUGGUCGUAGCCAUCCACAAAAAGAGGGGAUGUCAUGACAGCCGGGUCCUCACCUGUCUCCACUCCAUAGCAUGUCAACGGCGGAGCCGCGAUAUAAAGUUGGAGCGUGCCCUUUCGUUAGUGCCGUCGUUCUCUCCUCCACGGCUGUCGUUGUCACGAGCCCAAGUAUCUUUGCUGGGUAUCGACGGCAUUGGUGGACCUAAUAGAAAAAGAAGAAAAGAGAAGAAGCAUCAAGAUAUCAUGCAAAGAUGUAUUCAAGGCUGUCUUGCAACAAUGCAUCUUCAGGGACUUGGAAGUUUCAUCUAUUAAGAGAAGCCGAUGCUUGUGCGGAUUGCUGAAUCAAUCAAGAUGGAAGCUGAUGCAAUUAGAGUCCCAUUGGUACCAUUGCCUGUGAUCGCGAUGCAGGCACUCACUCUAGGAUCUGAUGUAUUUUUUUUUGCUAAUCCCUUAUGGUAGAUUAUAGUUCAAGUAGUGAAUUCAUCCACUUCUAUACAUAUUUUCUUUUGUUGUCUGCUUUGUGUUCCUGCAACUCAGCAUGAUCACCAAAGGGACGUCUCCUAAAAAUCAAGAGAAUAACUAAUUGCAUAUGCUUUUUACUUGUGUUCCUUUUGGGAGAUUGAGAUGAUGCACACUUGAAUUAUGAGUGAAUUAUGUGUCCUUGGCUAUUGAAAAUUUUGUAUUGUA
Molecule: long non-coding RNA, 2404 nt
Organism: Triticum aestivum (bread wheat)
Lineage: Eukaryota; Viridiplantae; Streptophyta; Magnoliopsida; Poales; Poaceae
Exons: 9
Source: RefSeq, a predicted model, not a curated record